UUGAGAUUUCACAAAAUUUCGCUCAAACGCUAAAGCCUUUGGCGAGACUCAGUUCUGCUCCCACCUCUUCCUGCUGCUCAGACAUGCCGUUCCCGCACCAAAUCCGUCGCCAAAAGCCGCCGUUUCCCACCGUUUCUCCACCAACUCUGUCUUCGUCGCCUGAGGUCGUCGCCAACAGCACCGCACGCCACACCUGGGUCUCCGUCGUCGCUGUCCGCAGGUUGUAACAGCUCCUGUGUCCACUUUAAAUGCUAUUGUUGUUGAAGCAUACAAGAAGUACAUACUGGUUUUACUCAUUCACCUUGGGCAGACUGCAAUUUCUGCUAGUUUUUCCUGUUGGUUUGUGUAUACAGGUCUAUGUAAAGUCAGCAUAGAGGCUCUUGAACAUUUUAGAAAGGAUACCAUGGUAGUUUGCCACUUUCAUGUUUAACAAAGGUUGAGAAUACCAUGAUAGUUUGCCACUUUCAUGUUUUCUUAAAUCAUGGAGCAUGAUCUUCAAAUGCAGCAUUGAUGGUAGAAAUUCAACAAAUGAGGGAAGAAAACAAAAUGAUGAAACACAAGCCCCUCCUGAUGAAGAUUAAGUAUUUUAUGUUUUUAUGACUUCUUUUGUGUAUGGCAAUAAUGCAUUGCUUAAAUGUUUAUGAACACAA
This is a long non-coding RNA of Ipomoea nil (Japanese morning glory), 650 nucleotides long. RefSeq lists it as uncharacterized. The transcript has 4 exons. Lineage: Eukaryota; Viridiplantae; Streptophyta; Magnoliopsida; Solanales; Convolvulaceae. The record is from RefSeq and is a predicted model, not a curated record.